GACGGAGGGGGCAAGCGUUGUCCGGAAUCACUGGGCGUAAAGCGCACGUAGGCGGGACGGUGCGUCGGUGCUGAAAGCGCCAGGCUUAACCUGGCGAGGCGUGCCGAUACGACCGACCUCGAGGCAGACAGAGGGUGGCGGAAUUCCGGGUGUAGUGGUGAAAUGCGCAGAUAUCAGGAGGAACACCGGUGGCGAAGGCGGAUCUCUGGGCCUUACCUGACGCUGAGGCGCGAAAGCUAGGGGAGCGAACAGG
RNAcentral lists this ribosomal RNA (253 nucleotides) under uncultured bacterium. Its description in RNAcentral is "partial 16S ribosomal RNA". It matches the Rfam family "Bacterial small subunit ribosomal RNA", at positions 524 to 776 of the family's 1533-position model. The record is from RNAcentral.